RNAcentral lists this ribosomal RNA (252 nucleotides) under uncultured bacterium. Its description in RNAcentral is "partial 16S ribosomal RNA". It matches the Rfam family "Bacterial small subunit ribosomal RNA", at positions 14 to 247 of the family's 1533-position model. The record is from RNAcentral.
GUAUCCUGGCUCAGGAUGAACGCUAGCGACAGGCCUAACACAUGCAAGUCGAGGGGCAGCGGAGAGGUAGCAAUACCUUUUGCCGGCGACCGGCGCACGGGGUGAGUAACACGUAUGCGAAAUCCACCUGUAACAGGGGGGAGUAACCCGGAGAAAUCCGGACUAAUACCCCAUAAUAUGGGCUCUCCGCAUGGAGGGGUCCAUUAAAGAGAGCAAUUUUGGUUACAGACGAGCAUGGCGCUCCAUUAGCCG